RNAcentral lists this ribosomal RNA (1058 nucleotides) under uncultured Basidiomycota. RNAcentral describes it as "eukaryotic LSU rRNA". The stretch from base 624 to 1058 matches the Rfam family "Eukaryotic large subunit ribosomal RNA", at positions 1 to 429 of the family's 3401-position model. The record is from RNAcentral. Lineage: Eukaryota; Fungi; Basidiomycota.
CUUGGUCAUUUAGAGGAAGUAAAAGUCGUAACAAGGUUUCCGUAGGUGAACCUGCGGAAGGAUCACUAGAGAAUAAACGGUCGCAAGACCACUCUAACCUUUCACACACCCUGUGCACUGUUGCCUGUCCUGAUGGGAAUUGGAGCAAUCCGGUUCCCUGUUGGAUGGUGCUUUUUAUACCCUUAAAUGCAAGUCAAUGUAUGUAAAAACCAAUAAUCAAUAUAACUUUUAACAACGGAUCUCUAGGUUCUCGCAUCGAUGAAGAACGCAGCGAAUUGCGAUAAGUAAUGUGAAUUGCAGAAUUCAGUGAAUCAUCGAAUCUUUGAACGCAUCUUGCACCCUCUGGUAUUCCGGAGGGUACGCCUGUUUGAGUGUCAUGAAACUCUCACCCCUUCCCUUUCUUAAUUGAUCGGUUUGUUGGGCGUGGACGUGAGCGUUGCCGGUGUUAACCAUCGGCUCGCUUGAAAUACAUUAGCAGAAUCCUUUCUCAAUUGGUUCUACUCAACGUGAUAAGUACUCCGUUGAGGACAGCACCUUACCUUCGGGUUUGUGUGUUGGCCAAUCGAUUAAGUUGAUACGCUUCUAAUCAGUACAGACUUCGGGAGCUGACAAUUAUGACAAUCUGGCCUCAAAUCAGGUGGGACUACCCGCUGAACUUAAGCAUAUCAAUAAGCGGAGGAAAAGAAACUAACAAGGAUUCCCCUAGUAACGGCGAGUGAAGCGGGAUGAGCUCAAAUUUAAAAUCUGGCAGUCUACGAUUGUCCGAGUUGUAAAUUCGAGAAGCGUUUUCCGCGGCGGCCUGUGUACAAGUCUCUUGGAAUAGAGCGUCAUAGAGGGUGAGAGUCCCGUCCUUGACACAGAUUACCGUUGCUUUGUGAUACGCUCUCUAUGAGUCGAGUUGUUUGGGAAUGCAGCUCAAAUUGGGUGGUAAAUUCCAUCUAAAGCUAAAUACUGGCGAGAGACCGAUAGCGAACAAGUACCGUGAGGGAAAGAUGAAAAGCACUUUGGAAAGAGAGUCAAACAGUACGUGAAAUUGUUAAAAGGGAAACGCUUGAAGU